UGCAUCGUGUGAGGAUCGAACUCACGACCUUCAGGUUAUGAGACUGACGCGUUACCUACUGCGCUAACGAGGC
Molecule: transfer RNA, 73 nt
Filed under: Cordylochernes scorpioides
Lineage: Eukaryota; Metazoa; Arthropoda; Arachnida; Pseudoscorpiones; Chernetidae
Description: tRNA-Met
Source: RNAcentral